UACGUAGGGGGCAAGCGUUGUCCGGAAUUAUUGGGCGUAAAGCGCGCGCAGGCGGUUCCUUAAGUCUGAUGUGAAAGCCCACGGCUUAACCGUGGAGGGUCAUUGGAAACUGGGGAACUUGAGUACAGAAGAGGAGAGUGGAAUUCCACGUGUAGCGGUGAAAUGCGUAGAUAUGUGGAGGAACACCAGUGGCGAUGGCGACUCUCUGGUCUGUAACUGACGCUGAGGUGCGAAAGCGUGGGGAGCGAACAGG
Molecule: ribosomal RNA, 253 nt
Filed under: uncultured bacterium
Lineage: Bacteria
Description: partial 16S ribosomal RNA
Rfam family: Bacterial small subunit ribosomal RNA
Source: RNAcentral